This 253-nucleotide ribosomal RNA is filed under the name uncultured bacterium. RNAcentral describes it as "partial 16S ribosomal RNA". It matches the Rfam family "Bacterial small subunit ribosomal RNA", at positions 524 to 776 of the family's 1533-position model. The record is from RNAcentral.
UACGUAGGGUGCAAGCGUUAAUCGGAAUUACUGGGCGUAAAGCGUGCGCAGGCGGUUGUGCAAGACAGAUGUGAAAUCCCCGGGCUUAACCUGGGAAUUGCAUUUGUGACUGCACGGCUAGAGUGUGUCAGAGGGGGGUAGAAUUCCACGUGUAGCAGUGAAAUGCGUAGAUAUGUGGAGGAAUACCGAUGGCGAAGGCAGCCCCCUGGGAUAAUAUUGACGCUCAUGCACGAAAGCGUGGGGAGCAAACAGG